This 4227-nucleotide long non-coding RNA is filed under the name Marmota monax (woodchuck). Lineage: Eukaryota; Metazoa; Chordata; Mammalia; Rodentia; Sciuridae. The record is from RNAcentral.
CCUGAUAGCACGCUGCUCUAAGUCAAUUUCUAACAUGUGAUUUCUUGUUCUUUUCAAAGAAAGCUUCAGAGGAGACCCUAGAUUUCUCUGUGUUAAGGUGGGCUCAAUGAGCCUCCCAGACCAACAAGAUCAGGGCAUUCAGUGCCACUUACUGGCCAGAGAUGUUUCCAGAGAGGUGUUCUGAGAUGCUAACCUGAGACCUGAGAAGGACAAGCCCACACUCCACCACCACCUCCUGCCUACCCUGGUACACAAAUAUGUGACAACAUGAGUACAUCAGAGCCUGCACAGUGACCCCUGCUGUCAGUUACGGCAGUUCUGUAAUGAUGUACACAAUGCUGUUUAUCCCACAAGCUCAUGAAAUAGCACAGCCGCCUAGAAAACAGAGGAUGAUGAUUAUCACACUUGUCUCCAUUUUAUCAGUGGGGCUCCUGGUGGUCCCACAGCUUGCCGGGGAGCCGGGGGCCAGGAUCCAGGAGCUGCGACUCUCUGGACAUAUGGUCUUCCUCUAGCUGCAUGUUGCCUCCAUGGAAGGAAAGACUUGCUCAUGAAUUAUAAACACUCAGAAUUUUAUUCUCGGGCAUAAAAGCAGGAGGGAGUGAUGGAGAGGGAGGCUGCUCACUGAAACAGAAGAGAAAGCACAGAUUUUACUAUGAUGUUGGUGUAAAAGGAGCCACACUGGCUCCCCCAGAAUUGACAAGGGCUCUGAGUCGUGAAGCAGGGCUCCGGCAUCCUCGAGGGGAGAUGGAGGACAGUUACUGAAUGGGGGAAGAUCGCAUCAAUAUGUAGCAUGACCUACUGGGAAUCAAACAGGCCUGGGUGGGGACAUCUUGGGUUGAACCUCAGUUUCUGGGGAGCUCGCCAGUGACUUCCUGGUCUACUUAGUCCCUAGUUUAUGGGAACAGCACUAUCCAUCUUGUGGAGUGUGUUUAAAUUACACUUGUGGGACCCCUACCACCAGGUGCUGUAUGGAGCACCUCGAGUAUUUAAUGCUCACAGCAGCUCUGGGAGGUGACACUGUUUUAUAGACUCAUUACAGGAGACUCAGGCACAGACAGACCGACUCUCUACAGCUAGGAGAGGGGACUGGAGCUCAGGCCUGCUGGACUCCAGGGUUUCUGUCCCAUAUAAUGCUCUCCCUGCUAGGGUUGUCCUAAUCGUUACUUAAAGUCCAUUCUGCACCCCUGUAUACUGGGGGGGUACCCAUAUGCCCCUACUCAAAUCAGCAUCUAGAGAAGCAGUUUCUACUGAGUUCCAGAAACCAGCCGUUGCCCAAGAGGGAAGAAUAGGCUCCUGCUCUUGCAAAGGAAGAUGGUGAAAAUACUGGCUGGGCCACCACAGGGACAUCCUAACAGGGGUUUCUACACGAUGCCCAAUUGAGGCCUGGAAGGGUGGGGAGGAUGUGCCCACAAAAAGGCCCUGGGUGGGAUGGUUCAUGAACAUCUGUUCCUGAACAGAAAUCAGAGUUUCCUGCCAAUUUCUGCACUUCCAGCACAUGCUGCAGAGGUCAGACCCAGGCCAUGGAAAUGAAUAAGUCAUCUUCUCCAUAUGCUCCAUGUCCCUCGAUUUCACAGCCAGAGGCAACAGGAAACACAGGCAGAGGAUGUCCAGCGGGGGUGGGACUCACAUUCUAGGGGAGUUGUGUGUCCACAAGGGAGUGACACUGUGGAUCCCUGGUGCAGGUAGGGUGGUACACAUGCUCUGUCCCCUGCAUCUUCCUCUUGUCCCUACCUCUGCCAUCUGUUCUAGUCCAGCAGAAGCCUCACAGACUCACCUCUCCUCCUUCUUCACCACCACAGCCCAACUCAGGAUGGAUGUGGGUGAGGAAGAAGGGACAAGGAGGAGCUCUUGGCCCAGUGCCCUUCCCCGAAUGUCAGUUCGCUCAGGACAAGGAGCAGAGAACUUGUUACUACUGGCCUUUAGAAGCACAAAUUUCAUUUUUAGAGCUGAGAACAUCUAAUCCACCCCCAGCUCUGUUCUAUCUAAGGACACCUGCUCUCAGCUAGGAGGAAAGGGAAGAUGAAUAAAAAUAUAUAAAACGCCAACUCUGGGGCUGACCUCCUAGGUUCAAACCCAACUCCUCAGAAGGGAAAAAUUGCAAGCAGUCUAAAAAGUAUGACAACUGCAAAAUCAGAAAUUCCUUUUAAUCUCAUUUCAUGGGCAACACUGAUACACUGUAAGGCAUGAAAUUUUUAUUUCAUGUCAAUUUUAUUGGGAUUUCACAUGCAGAUUAAUUUGUUCAUCCACAUAAACACGUACUGCUCCCACUUCUAGCCUCAACACUCACCCUCACUCAGAGCUGCAGAAACCCCGUGUCCCAUAAAAGACACUUAAAGCAGUGCUGAGAUUGGCCAUUCCAUUACGAUGCCACAUUUUUAGCAUGUUAUUAAAUUCCAGUGUGUUUGGAAAGGAAUAAAUGGGUCCAAGCAGAGAGGCGAACUGCUUAGGACCUUGGCUGGGCACAGUGAUGGGCAGCUUCUAAAAACCUCACCUCCUUGUAGAAGCCCCUUGUCUUGAGUGUGGGCUGAACCUGUUGACUGGCUUCAAAAGAGCAGAAUAUGCUGAAACAGGGGGAUAUCACAAAAGACUGGCAUGCAUGCUUUGGUGAAGCAAGCUGCCAUGAUGGAGAGCCCCGUGUGGCAAGGACCUGAAUCAUGCCAAUAGCCACAGGAGUGAGCCUGGAAGACAGUCCUCCUGCAGUAGGCCCUGAGAUGACUACAAUCCCCGAGGAGCCCUUGAUAGCAGCCUGGGAGGGAGCCUGAACCAGAGGACUCACCUAAGCCAUGCCUGACCCCCAGAAACUGAGAUGAUAUUUUAAGCCAUUAUGUUUUGAAGUAAUGUGUUACACAGUCAUAGAUAAAAAAAGCCGGGACACCCUUAGCUAUGCAAGAAAAACAAGUUCAACAUGGUUACUCAUGUGCAAGGGUACAAGGCAAAUUUCUCUGUACCCGGAGGAAGAGCCAUGUGAUCGCAUUCCCAUCCUUCCCACUCCCCCAGGUUCCCCAUGGGACCAUUUGUUCACACUCUGCUGGCCUCCAUUACAAGAUGGUGCUAGGGAGGGAUGCCUUGGGGCUCCUACAUCCAGAGGGAAGCUACUAUUUGAGUGACUGUUUCUCACCCGGGAUGGUAUUUAACUAGUACCAUUCCACAUGCCUAGGGUAGAAGUUAGUUUGUUCCAUAGCCCGGAGUCAAAAGGGUGUCCUAGGUGUUAACACAGACAUUCCUCCUUUCUCUGAGCACAAGUCCAUUUUGCAGGGCACCUGGACUCAGGGCCAGCCUAUUCAGGUCAACACAUGCAUUCCCUUCACCUAACACCACUCUGUUCUUGGUGGAGUCUUUCUCAACUAACCUGGCUUCACAUCUGCUGUUCACUUUUUGCUCCUUGGAGGACCCUUCCUGGAUGUUUUGCUGUCUGCUUCUGAUAACAUCUGAUUCUUAAGAAAAGCUACACCUUGACACUUCUAGGGCACUUCCACUGUCUGAUUAAGUGCAGGCGGUCCAUCAGAAUGAUGAUCCCAAACAUGAUGAUCUGCAAGUCCUUUUUUUCUUGGCAAGGGAAGAAUGCCCAUGGGGUCUCUCCGGACACACUGAGAUGCUAACUAGAGAAGAGGAACACUAUGAUGAGGCCCUGUUGUCCAGACUCUCUUAAAGGCUCAGUCUUUUUAUUUUUGAACUACCAACAGCUAGAAGACUUCUGUCUGUGGCUCCAAGAAAACUACUGUGUUGUUGCAAUACUAGACUGGGGGCAGAGGUGGGGAGGGGACACACAUAGAUCCCCAAUUAAGUCAAGCUGAUGGCAGUAUCUCUGGGUGUCUACGCACACUUGGUGAUUAAAGUAGAAAAGAGUCGCUGGGAAACAAUAAAUACUCAAUACUGGAUUAUACUUUUUUUAUGAUUUGCAAAUGCUCAUGAACCUGUUAAAAAAGUUUGCGAGUUCUGUUAGCCCAUUCUUUACCAAGUUUCUGUUCCCAAACCUUACAUCCAUCCCUCCAUUCCUCCAUCUGUCCCCUUACACUCUUUCCUUUUUAUUAGCAUACGAUUCUUCAUAUAAAAUUGGCACUCAAAUACUUAUUGGAUAUAUGUUUAUCAAAAUGCCACACAGUCCAUGAAACAGAAAUUUGUGGGACAUCAGUUUAGAAAACACUGGCUCCAGCUUCCUUUUUUACAGACAGGGAGAUUGGGAGCAGUGAGCCCCCUAGUGGCAGGGCUAAGCUCGCCUGCUUCUUG